RNAcentral lists this ribosomal RNA (254 nucleotides) under uncultured bacterium. Its description in RNAcentral is "partial 16S ribosomal RNA". It matches the Rfam family "Bacterial small subunit ribosomal RNA", at positions 524 to 776 of the family's 1533-position model. The record is from RNAcentral.
UACGUAGGGGGCAAGCGUUGUCCGGAUUUAUUGGGCGUAAAGAGCGUGUAGGCGGCUUGGUAGGUCCGCUGUGAAAACUCGAGGCUCAACCUCGAGAUGUCGGCGGAAACCACUUGGCUAGAGUCCGGAAGAGGAGAGUGGAAUUCCUGGUGUAGCGGUGAAAUGCGCAGAUAUCAGGAAGAACACCUAUGGCGAAGGCAGCUCUCUGGGACGGUACUGACGCUGAGGAGCGAAAAGCGUGGGGAGCGAACAGG